AGCGAACGUUUGCGGCGGGCCUAACACAUGCAAGUCGAACGCACUAGCAAUAGUGAGUGGCGCACGGGUGCGUAACACGUGGGUAAUCAACCCUUCAGCUUGGGAUAACGACUUGAAAGGGUCGCUAAUACCGGAUACGGCGCGGGAGGCUUCGGCUUCUCACGAGAAAGCCUCGCAAGGGACACUGAAGGACGAGCCUGCGGCCCAUCAGCUAGUUGGUGAGGUAAGAGCUCACCAAGGCGAAGACGGGUAGCUGGUCUGAGAGGAUGAUCAGCCACACUGGAACUGAGACACGGUCCAGACUCCUACGGGAGGCAGCAGUGGGGAAUAUUGCGCAAUGGCGAAAGCCUGACGCAGCCACGCCGCGUGAGCGAUGAAGGCCU
RNAcentral lists this ribosomal RNA (383 nucleotides) under uncultured bacterium. RNAcentral's name for it is "bacterial SSU rRNA". It matches the Rfam family "Bacterial small subunit ribosomal RNA", at positions 29 to 417 of the family's 1533-position model. The record is from RNAcentral.